GAGGGAAACGCCCGGUCACAUUCCGAACCCGGAAGCUAAGACUCUCAGCGCCGAUGGUACUGCAGGGGGGACCCUGUGGGAGAGUAGGACACCGCCGGAA
This 100-nucleotide ribosomal RNA is filed under the name Rathayibacter sp. AY2B9. The record is from RNAcentral. Lineage: Bacteria; Bacillati; Actinomycetota; Actinomycetes; Micrococcales; Microbacteriaceae.